RNAcentral lists this long non-coding RNA (294 nucleotides) under Sorghum bicolor (sorghum). RNAcentral's name for it is "long non-coding RNA (SBIC_LNC005835)". The record is from RNAcentral. Lineage: Eukaryota; Viridiplantae; Streptophyta; Magnoliopsida; Poales; Poaceae.
GAGCAUCCCCAACCGUUUUGCAUAAUUGGUUUGGCAAAUGAGGGAGUUUGCCAAGUCUCAAAAAAAUAUGGCAAAAGUGAAAAGAGGCAAUCUCCAAUGGUUUGGCAUUAAUCACUUCGCGCCAAUUUCCCAAUGCCAAGUGUGAACAGGUUUGGCAUAUAUGCCAAUCCUUCCUCUCUUUUUGCCAAGUUAACAAAAUUGCAAAGUCUAAAUGCCAAACCGUUGGAUAAGUGUUUUUAAGACUUUUUCGCAAAUACAUGAAUGCAAAGCUUAUUUGCAAAACGGUUGGGGAUG